GACGAACGCUGGCGGCGUGCUUAACACAUGCAAGUCGAACGGAAAGGCCCUGCUUUUGUGGGGUGCUCGAGUGGCGAACGGGUGAGUAACACGUGAGUAACCUGCCCUUGACUUUGGGAUAACUUCAGGAAACUGGGGCUAAUACCGGAUAGGAGCUCCUGCUGCAUGGUGGGGGUUGGAAAGUUUCGGCGGUUGGGGAUGGACUCCCGGCUUAUCAGCUUGUUGGUGGGGUAGUGGCUUACCUAGGCUUUGACGGGUAGCCGGCCUGUGAGGGUGACCGGCUACAUUGUUCCUCAGGUACGGCCCAGACUCGUCCGGCACACAACAGUGGGCAAUAUUGCUACGUGAGCCGAAGCCAAUUGCAGCGACCCCCCGUGCGGAAUCACGGCCUUCGGCUUGUAAACCGCUUUCGCCUGUGCCGGAGCCUGAGUGACGGUAACGGGUAAAGAAGCACCGGCUAACUACGUG
Molecule: ribosomal RNA, 468 nt
Filed under: uncultured bacterium
Lineage: Bacteria
Description: partial 16S ribosomal RNA
Rfam family: Bacterial small subunit ribosomal RNA
Source: RNAcentral